This is a non-coding RNA of Kogia breviceps (pygmy sperm whale), 3367 nucleotides long. The record is from RefSeq and is a predicted model, not a curated record. NCBI's taxonomy places the organism in Eukaryota, Metazoa, Chordata, Mammalia, Artiodactyla, Physeteridae.
AUGGAGGGGGCGCUUGGCGCCAACUGGAGCGCCGAGGCGGUCGACGGGAGCGCGGCGCCGCCGGGGGCCGAGGGCAACCGCACCGCCGGGCCGCCGCAGCGCAACGAGGCCCUGGCUCGGGUGGAGGUGGCCGUGCUGUGCCUCAUCUUCUUCCUGGCGCUGAGCGGCAACGCGUGCGUGCUGCUGGCGCUGCGCACCACGCGCCGCAAGCCCUCGCGCCUCUUCUUCUUCAUGAAGCACCUGAGCAUCGCCGACCUGGUGGUGGCGGUGUUCCAGGUGCUGCCGCAGCUGCUGUGGGACAUCACCUUCCGCUUCUACGGGCCCGACCUGCUGUGCCGCCUCGUCAAGUACCUGCAGGUGGUGGGCAUGUUCGCCUCCACCUACCUCCUGCUGCUCAUGUCGCUCGACCGCUGCCUGGCCAUCUGCCGGCCGCUGCGCGUGCUGCGCCGCCGCGCCGACCGUCUGGCCGUGCUCGCCACGUGGCUGGGCUGCCUGGUGGCCAGCGCGCCGCAGGUCCACAUCUUCUCGCUGCGCGAGGUGGCCGACGGCGUCUUCGACUGCUGGGCCGUCUUCAUCCAGCCCUGGGGGCCCAAGGCCUACGUCACGUGGAUCACGCUCGCCGUCUACAUCGUGCCCGUCAUCGUGCUUGCCGCCUGCUACGGCCUCAUCAGCUUCAAGAUCUGGCAGAACUUGCGGCUCAAGACGGCGGCGGCGGCGGCCGAGGCGGCCGCGGGGCCCGAGGGCGCGGCGGCGGAGAGCGCGGGGCGCGGGGCUUUGGCCCGCGUCAGCAGCGUCAAGCUCAUCUCCAAGGCCAAGAUCCGCACGGUCAAAAUGACCUUCGUCAUCGUGCUGGCCUUCAUCGUGUGCUGGACGCCAUUCUUCUUCGUGCAGAUGUGGAGCGUCUGGGACGCCGAGGCGCCCAAGGAAGCCUCGGCUUUCAUCAUUGCCAUGCUGCUGGCCAGCCUCAACAGCUGCUGCAACCCCUGGAUCUACAUGCUCUUCACGGGCCACCUCUUCCACGAGCUCCUGCAGCGCUUCCUCUGCUGCCCGUCCAGCUGCCUGAAGGGCCGCCGGCCCAGGGAGACCGGCGUCAGCAAAAAGAGCAACUCGUCCACCUUCAUCCUGAGCCCGGAUGGCUCCAGCCAGAGGGGCUGCUUGCAGCCAUCCACGGUGUGACCGGCGGGGCCAGGACCACCCCUCUUGGCUUGGAUUGUACAGCAGGGAGUCCGGCCAUUGGUGGUCGGGUACGUGUGUGUAUAAGAUUUUUGACAAGUGUGACAAGAGAAUUCAAUUGGGGAGAUUGUCUUUUCGAUAAAUGGCGCCCAGACAGCUGGAUAUCCACAUGCAAAAGAAUGCAGUUGGACCUCUACCUCAUACUAUAUACAAAAGUUAACUCAAAAUGCAUCAACCUAAUUGUAAGAGCUAAAACUAUAAAAGUCUUAGAAGACAACAUAGGGAUAAAUAUUUGUGACCUUGGGUUAGGCCAUGGUUUCUUAGAUAAUGACACUCAAAACAGAAGUCAAAGGAAAAAUAGAUAAAUUGGACCUCAUCAAAAUGGGGCACAAAACUUUUGUGUUUCAUAGGGCACUAUCGAGAAAGUGAUAAGACAGCUCAUAGAAUGGAAGAGAAUAUUUGGAAGCCAUAUACCUGUAUCUAGAAUACAUCAAGAAUGCUUACGAUUUAAGAAUGAAAAGCCAAAUAACCCACUUUAAAAAAUGGGCAACGUAUUUGAAUAAACAAGUGAAUAGACAUGUUUUCCUAUCUUCUCCAAAGAAGAGAUAUAAGUGGCCCAUAAGCACAUGAGAAGAUGCUUGAUAUUAUUACUCAUGAGGGAAAUGCAAAUCAAAACCACAGUGAAAUAGCACUGCACACCCAAUAAGAUGGCUCUAAUCAAAGAUACGGGCAAUGAUAGGUGCUGGUGAGGAUGGAGAGAAAGUGGAACUCUCCUCCGUCGCUUGUGGGAAGGUAAAAUGGUGCGGCCAAUUUGGAAAAUAGUUUGGCAAUUCCUGAAAAAGUUAAACAUAGAAUUACCAUAUGAGCCAGAAAUGCUACUCCUAGGUAUUUACUCAAGAGAAACGGAGGCAUAUAUACCAACAAAAACUUGUCCACAAAUGUUUAUAGCAGUAUAAUUCAUAAUAGCCAAAAAUGGAGAUAACCCAAAUACCUACCAACUGAUGAAUGGAUAACUAAAUGUAGUAUAUCUAUACAAUGGCACAUUAUUGAACUAUGGAAAGAAAGGAAGUGCUGACACGGGCUCCAACAUGGAUGAACCUUGAAAACGUCAUGCUAAGUGAAAGAAGCCUUGUGAGAAGCCACAUACUACAUGAUUCCAUUUAUAUGAAAUGCCCAGAAUAGGCAAAAUUACCAAGACAAAUUAUACAAUAGUGGUUGCCAGGGGCUGCAGGCUGGGGCAGGUGGGGAGUGACUGCUGAGCCCCAUAUGGGGCUUUCUUUGUGGUGAUGAAAAUUUUCUGGGGUUAGUGAUGUGCACGAUUUUGAGGAUAUGCUAAAAACCACUGAAUUAAAUACUUAAAAAAAAUGUUGACCAGCUGAAUUCAGAGGCAGCCAGCUUGAAGGAUGCAUUUCUUGGAAUCUCUUAACCUCCCAGAACUUUCGUUUCUCACUGGCUCACCAUUUGAGAAGAAUCCAUGGUUUUCUUACUCAGUUUUCCUGCGAGAGAUGGUGUUUCCAGUUUCAGCAAAAGUACCGGCAGUGAUAAGACCCGGUAAACAUGUCGUCAGAUGUCCUCUCAGCCUUGAGGUACAGCAUGACCGUGUCCAAGAAACACCUUUAGUCGUUAAAUACAGGACGUUAUAGAUCAGAGGUUUUCCGACUGGGACUGGCCAGCUCGGUGGGACUCCAGGGCACUUUUUAAAUUUGCACAUAUAUAUUUUUGGACUCACCGUGACACGGCAGGAGCACUUCCCAAAGCCCCAGAUCUCCACACACACUUUCCUCUUCUCCCUCCACACUGCAUUGUACACACACGUGCACACACACACACACACACACACACAGUAGAACGAGCUAGCAGGGUCUGGAUGUUCAGGGAAAAGAGAGGCGCGCGCUGAAAUGCCAGUGUUCGAAACCUCAGCACUCAGGACAAGAUCUUCAGUAUAACUGGAGACUGAGGACGAUGUCAUCUUUGGACCCAGAGGCAGCGCAGUGUGGCCGUGACGGGCGCUUCGUGUCAGCACCAGCCAGUCCCGGCUCUUCGGCAAGCUAACGGGAAGCUGGCUUGGGGUUCCGUGCCCACAUCCAGGACACCGGGCACCCUGGGUGCAAAUGCAGCCGUGGUGGGCUCUGUCGGCCUUUGAGCCUCUCUGCUCAGCAGCCAGAGACACCCCAUUCUCUGCAGUUCCCAGGGA